AGGGGCGUAGUUCAUCUGGUAGAGCACCGGUCUCCAAAACCGGGUGUUGGGAGUUCGAGUCUCUCCGCCCCUG
RNAcentral lists this transfer RNA (73 nucleotides) under Salmonella enterica subsp. enterica. RNAcentral's name for it is "tRNA-Trp". It matches the Rfam family "tRNA". From Rfam's summary of the family: Transfer RNA (tRNA) molecules are approximately 80 nucleotides in length. Their secondary structure includes four short double-helical elements and three loops (D, anti-codon, and T loops). Lineage: Bacteria; Pseudomonadati; Pseudomonadota; Gammaproteobacteria; Enterobacterales; Enterobacteriaceae. The record is from RNAcentral.